GGUCCUUCGGGAUGCCGGCGAGCGGCGGACGGGUGAGGAAUACGUCGGAAUCUGCCUCUUUGUGGGGGAUAACGUAGGGAAACUUACGCUAAUACCGCAUACGACCUACGGGUGAAAGCCGGGGACCUUCGGGCCUGGCGCAGAGAGAUGAGCCGACGUCGGAUUAGCUAGUUGGCGGGGUAAAGGCCCACCAAGGCGACGAUCCGUAGCUGGUCUGAGAGGAUGAUCAGCCACACUGGAACUGAGACACGGUCCAGACUCCUACGGGAGGCAGCAGUGGGGAAUAUUGGACAAUGGGCGCAAGCCUGAUCCAGCCAUGCCGCGUGUGUGAAGAAGGCCUUCGGGUUGUAAAGCACUUUUGUUGGGGAAGAAAAGCGUUGGGUUAAUACCCUGACGUUCUGACGGUACCCAAAGAAUAAGCACCGGCUAACUUCGUGCCAGCAGCCGCGGUAAUACGAAGGGUGCAAGCGUUACUCGGAAUUACUGGGCGUAAAGCGUGCGUAGGUGGUUUGUUAAGUCUGAUGUGAAAGCCCUGGGCUCAACCUGGGAACUGCAUUGGAAACUGGCUUACUAG
RNAcentral lists this ribosomal RNA (574 nucleotides) under uncultured bacterium. Its description in RNAcentral is "bacterial SSU rRNA". It matches the Rfam family "Bacterial small subunit ribosomal RNA", at positions 74 to 644 of the family's 1533-position model. The record is from RNAcentral.